Molecule: long non-coding RNA, 1028 nt
Organism: Dreissena polymorpha
Lineage: Eukaryota; Metazoa; Mollusca; Bivalvia; Myida; Dreissenidae
Exons: 2
Source: RefSeq, a predicted model, not a curated record
CUCCUCCUACACUAAAAGCACUAGAACCUUGAAACUUACACACAUGGUAGCUAUGAGCAUAUGUGCGACCCUGCACUAUUUGGAAUUUUGAUCUGACCCCUGGGUCAAAAGUUAUAGCGGUUGGGGUGGGGCCGCGUCAGAAAUUAUCACUCAUUUUUUAUACGCCCGUAUAAAAUACGGGACGUAUUAUGUGAAACCCCUUGGCGGGCGGGCGGCGGGCGGAAGGCAUCACUUUGUCCGGACUCUAAUUCAAAUUGUAUUCAUCCGAUCUUCACCAAACUUGGUCAGCAGUUGCAUCUAGUUGAUAUCUAGGCCAAGUUCGAAUAUGGGUCAUGCCGGGUCAAAAACUAGGUCAUAGGGUCAAUUAGUGCAUUUUCAACGGCGCCACUUUGUCCGGACUCUAAUUCAAAUUGUAUUCAUCCGAUCUUCACCAAACUUGGUCAGUAGUUGCAUCUAGUUGAUAUCUAGGUCAAGUCCGAAUAUGGGUCAUGCUGGGUCAAAAACUAGGUCAAAGGGUCAAUUAGUGCAUUUUACUUUGUCCGGACUCUAAUUCAAAUUGUAUAAAUCUUAUCUUCACCAAACUUGGUCAGUAGUUGCAUCUAGUUGAUAUCUAGGCCAAGUUCGAAUAUGGGUCAUGCCAGGUAAAAAACUAGGUCAUAGGGUCAAUUAGUCCAUUUUCAACAGCGCCACUUUGUCCGGACUCUUAUUCAAAUUGUAUUCAUCCGAUCUUUACCAAACUUGGUCAGUAGUUGCAUCUAGUUGAUAUCUAGGUCAAGUUCGAAUAUGGGUCAUGUCGGGUCAAGAACUAGGUCAUAGGGUCAAUUAGUGCAUUUUCAACGGCGCCACUUUGUCCGGACUCUAAUUCAAAUUGUAUUCAUCCGAAACUUUUAAACAACUUUUUAUCCUGCGUCAAAGUGGUAUGGGGGUCUAAACAAUUAUGAUUUAAAUAUUGUGUUUUAGAGAACAAAUGAGACUAAGUGUACACUUAUUGAUAUCAAUGCAUAUAUAUGAAUAUAUCAGUUAUAUAA